GGACAGGUGGCCGAGUGGUUUAAGGCGCACGCUUGGAAAGCGUGUGUAGGGGAAACUCUACCGAGGGUUCGAAUCCCUCUCUGUCCGCCA
Molecule: transfer RNA, 90 nt
Filed under: Caulobacter sp.
Lineage: Bacteria; Pseudomonadati; Pseudomonadota; Alphaproteobacteria; Caulobacterales; Caulobacteraceae
Also listed under: 1 other name
Description: tRNA-Ser
Rfam family: tRNA
About the family: Transfer RNA (tRNA) molecules are approximately 80 nucleotides in length.
Source: RNAcentral